ACUUACGGUUAGAAUUAGAAUACUUAUGCUUACUUUAGGUAUUUUUUUUUUAACAAUAAUAUUUGAAAACGUCUCCAAUUACCUCAAUUUAUUUUGGAUCAGAUUUCUCGAAGUUAUAGCCUAACCUAACUUUUAAUUUUAACAAUUUAAUUUUCAUUCACGAUAAUGUCUUCAAGAAGAAGCAAAACGUUAGAUUCGAAGCGAGCGAUUUGUUAGAUAACAUUUAUUUAUUUAUCGUGUUUGAUAGAACUGGCAUCGAGCCAAUUCAACGUCACAUAAACGUGCAUUUAUUACUCUACCAAUGUGACUCGGUUUGUCAAUUGAGAAGGUUCUAUUGUUCGAAAAAGGGAUGAUCGCUACUCUUCCACGUUUUUAAAACCCAUUAUAUGACGAGAACUUACACAUUUUAAUGAUAAAUGUCUGGCUAGUUAGCGCGUGUUUAUAAAUUUCUCGCUUAUUUAUAAUAUCCGAUUGCCAUAUGUGAAAUUUUUCUACGUGGGUAAUUCACUAAAUGAUUAUAAACAAAUACCUCUUUGACAGUAUCAAAAUUACUUCAGACUGAACUGUGUGUUUCGUCGAUAUAAGUCAUUGUACGUUCGUUACUCUUCUGUUGCCAAUUUACAGUUUCUAUAUCUAUAUGAAGAAAUUUUAUGGAGAACCACAGGAAUGUAAAUGGUACGACUUCCGGUGAAUAUUCUGAGAAUAACACGUUUAAACAUCCUGGUUUAAACAAAGCUUCGUUUUCGCCAACCAAUGUCUUGUACCACAUAUCACGUAGGACAAGAAAACAGUAAAGCAGCAAGGAUGACUCUUCCAUCCUUUCGACCCAUUCAACCAGGAUUCAAAGGUAAACAGUCGCGCAAAAAACUGAAAAAAAUCGUAGAGAAAUACAGAGAAAAUCUGCCACCAACGGAAACAGAAUUCGAAGAAGAUCAAUCGGAAGAAUUGGAUAUUCUUUACGAAAUGAUCAGGAAAGACUUUGAAACAAAAAGAUUUUUCGAAAUUCGAGGAUUCUGCUGCCACUGCGGCAAGAAAUUCGGAGGAGAAUACGACGUUUAUUUACACGCUAACAAGACAGUUUGCAGUAUAUGGAACUGUGUUAAAUAUAAGUUUACUCUGGGUAGGACAAAAGUAAAGAUUUGGGCCGCUUUUCUUUACGAUUCGUUUUGUCAUGGGUGCGAGAAAGAAUUCGACGGUUGGGCGGAAUUAGAGAAACACAAAGCUAAAACCGAAUGCGGACAAAAGUUUCCAGAACUGAUUAUGAAUCGCCAAUUACAUCUCGUUAUUUUUGUGAAGAAAGACACCUAUUUUUCUUACUAUAAAUUGCGUUUUAUGAAGACAUUUCGCUUAUAAUCGGCAUCAGUUUUGAAGAAACUUUAAUAUAUUAACGAUAUUAAAUAUAUAAUUUUCUUUAAAUGAAAUAACCAAGAUUGCCAAAAUUGUAAUGAAGUAUUUAAAUUACUUUAAUAAAAAUUUAAAUAUCGGAUAUUUUAAUAAAUACUUUUUGUAUAAAAUAUUCUAUGGGAGAGAGAAUGUUCGACUGGAAGAAAUCAAAUCGCUUUCCUAACAGUUUUAAAUUGCUUUUAUGCUUAUAUCUUUGAUAUAAAAGUUUUAUAUACGUGACUAAUUCAAAUUUAUUUACAGCAAAUCACUUUUUGUCAGGUCUACUCGAGAUGAGGAUGUAUUGUAAUGCGAUCUGCGCUGUUUGCUCUCGUAUAUUUUACCAUACAGAGCUCUCAACCUGUGAUUUUGAAAAGAGCAAUAUCGCUCUUUUCAAAAUCACAGUUGAGAGCUCUGAUAUUUGCCCCAAAAAGCUGAGAGCCAACAUUUUUUUUUUAAUAUAGUGAUUUUGAUCAUUUUGAUGGAAUUCUCUAGUGCAAAGUGUACAGAAAUGAUAAAAUAAAUUGUUAAAUAUGAUACAAUAUUAUUUUAUCACAUCAGUUUUAUACUUUUGAUCAUUUUGCACUCGUUAUAUAACACUUUACUGUAGAACAGCGAUUCCCCUAAAUAUAGAAUUGAGAUCUCAAGUGGAAUCACCAAUUCCUUUAGGUGGCUUGAGUAAACACUUUUUCAUAAACAUUAUUUCUCUGCUUAAAAAACUUCAAAAG
RNA transcript from Centruroides sculpturatus (bark scorpion), 2108 nucleotides. RefSeq lists it as uncharacterized. The transcript is spliced from 3 exons. Lineage: Eukaryota; Metazoa; Arthropoda; Arachnida; Scorpiones; Buthidae. The record is from RefSeq and is a predicted model, not a curated record.